RNAcentral lists this ribosomal RNA (460 nucleotides) under uncultured bacterium. RNAcentral's name for it is "partial 16S ribosomal RNA". It matches the Rfam family "Bacterial small subunit ribosomal RNA", at positions 338 to 795 of the family's 1533-position model. The record is from RNAcentral.
CCUACGGGGUGCAGCAGUGAGGAAUAUUGGUCAAUGGGCUUACGCCUGAACCAGCCAAGUCGCGUGAGGGAAGACUGCCCUAUGGGUUGUAAACCUCUUUUGUCAGGGAGCAACGCCGGCUACGUGUAGCCGGACUGAGAGUACCUGAAGAAAAAGCAUCGGCUAACUCCGUGCCAGCAGCCGCGGUAAUACGGAGGAUGCGAGCGUUAUCCGGAUUUAUGGGGUUUAAAGGGUGCGUAGGCGGAAUGCCAAGUCAGCGGUAAAAUCGCGGGGCUCAACCUCGCUCCGCCGUUGAAACUGGCGUUCUUGAGUGGGCGAGAAGUAUGCGGAAUGCGUGGUGUAGCGGUGAAAUGCAUAGAUAUCACGCAGAACUCCGAUUGCGAAGGCAGCAUACCGGCGCCCAACUGACGCUGAAGCACGAAAGCGUGGGUAUCGAACAGGAUUAGAUACCCCAGUAGUC